RNAcentral lists this unclassified non-coding RNA (1200 nucleotides) under Actinia tenebrosa (Australian red waratah sea anemone). Its description in RNAcentral is "homeobox protein HMX3-A-like, transcript variant X4". The record is from RNAcentral. Lineage: Eukaryota; Metazoa; Cnidaria; Anthozoa; Actiniaria; Actiniidae.
UGUAAUAUGUCAUAGGAAGGCGGCAUGAUCAGAUGGACUGCUUUCCCAUCAGCCCCAACUUGUGCUGUCAGGUCGAGCUCAAGGCAGCUCAGCGUUGCCGCAAUUGUUUCGAUUUGAACGUCGAAGCGCUCGCACUGUUCAUCAGUCUAUCUCACAGUGUGAUGCGUACCAGGUCAUAAAGUCCUUCAAAUCUAUGCGAGGACUAGUGAGAAUGGCUUCUCUUGGCACUUGGCAUGCUCAUAUCUACGACACUCCACCAAAACAGCCGACCCCGUAUUUUGUAGCCACUAUUCUCGGCCUAGACGCUACUCACAUGCCAGUAUUUACAACAAGAAGUUCUAAAUCCAAGACGGCGCUGGCCGAGUCCAACGGGCUAGACUCGAAUUUACCGAAUAACGAAACCAAAGAGACCACAAGUCGGGUUAAAAAAUCAGAGGCUCAAUCACAGCUCUCUGAUAGCGAUAAAGACACCUCGAUAAAGACUCAAGGCUCUCACUCGAAGAACCAGAAACGCGUUGUCAAGGGUAAAAUAGAUAAAGAUAACAGUAAAACUAGUAAGAAGAAAAAGAAAGCUCGGACGACUUUCACUGGCCGGCAGAUAUUCGAACUAGAGAAACAAUUCGACGCGAAAAAGUACUUGACGGCGAACGAACGCAGCGAUAUGGCUGCACUGUUGAACGUUACGGAAACUCAGGUGAAAAUUUGGUUUCAGAAUAGAAGGACUAAAUGGAAAAAGCAAGAGAAANUGGUGGAGAAUGACUCAAAUGUGUCCACGGGAAACAACAUUGAACUGUCACACGAGUCCAUGGAUGAAAGCGGCUCAGACAGUAGAGCGAAUUCUCCCGACGGUCAAAAUCCUUCCAACGAAAAGAAUAUGGAAGAGGAAGAAGAUGUUUCUUCGGAGUAGAGGAAAAUCGUGGUAACUUGGGUAUCAGUAAAACUGUUAGUUCAGCUGGUAUGAAGCAGACGUUAAAAGCCCCCGAGUAUUGGUUGGUGUACUUGGAAAGCAAUUACUUCCAUCCAUUAACAAAGUAUAUAAACAGACAAUGCCAAAGCAAAUAAAGACUAGUGAGUCUGCAAUCAAUCUGCAAACCAAGAACUGAUGUGAAGUCGUUUGCUCUUGAUUCAAGAUUGGCUGUUGGUUUUCGUUAUCAGAAAACUCGUACACCAAACAAAACAAGCCCUUUUUCUUUUGUAGUA